RNAcentral lists this long non-coding RNA (1285 nucleotides) under Homo sapiens (human). RNAcentral describes it as "HSALNT0309393". The record is from RNAcentral. Lineage: Eukaryota; Metazoa; Chordata; Mammalia; Primates; Hominidae.
GGCGGGGCGGGGCGAGCGGGGGGCGGGGCGCCUGGCGGCCCCGGCUCUGGAGCAUCGGGGAGUGGGGCCUCUUUCCCCGCAGGGAGUUGGGAUGGGGGUUGCAGGAAGACGAUGCGGGACCCCAUCCCCCAGGAGUGGGUCGAAGUCACGGGUGUCACAGACGCCAGGGAUUGCUAAAAGUCCUCCAGUGGAAACAGAAGGCAAACUGCACGGCUUCUCCCUGUCCUGUUCAAACGCAGAAGCAAAUGUCACACUUUUCUGCUUCAGGAGAUACCUAAAAUUCAUGUGGCCAUUGCAGGAAAUCACUGAACCCCAGACAGAUCUGCAAGCGGAGAAUUCAGACCUCCAAGUGGAUAGAGUUAUUACAUUUUUCCUCACACCUGCUGUCUUUCAAUCUAAGACCUCUUCCUCUUGAAAAUUCUUAAUUUUGUGCCACGCCAGCACCCUCUGCUGGUACUAGUGUCGUCAUUCAGGUGGUUUCUGUGCCCCUGGAGUUGCGUUCUUUCCUGAAACUAACUUCUCUUACCUUAAAUCCUGGACUAGUGGAUAGUGCUCUUCAUUGCCUUCCAUCAAGACACACACACAAAUGAAGCAAGAUGAAGUGUAAAAAGGUUGUGAGUUAAUUAAAAUCACAUUUCAGUUUAUUGUACUUUUGCCUGAGCAACCCCUUUGUUUGUGUAUUUCAUAUUAUUUUGAAAUAUAGGAUAAUUAAAAGUGGUUUUAUUUUCUGGAUGCUGGUUACUGCAUGUUUCAGAUAAUUUUCCUUGCUAAAAGUAUUCUCUUAGUCUUUAAUCUUUAAAAUGCAUAUUAUGGCAGAGACAAUACAAGAUCCUUUCAUUUUUUCCAGGCUAAAAAGGAAAACUAUAAUCUUCCAGCACCUUAGCUUAUAGGCAGAGCAACAUGAUUAAUGCUGGGGAAAAAGCAUAUUGAUUUGCAUGUCCUGGUCCCAAAACAUCCAUGUACUAAGUGCCAUGAAAGUGUUAACUAUUAUUACUGUUACCACGCUCAGAGAAAUGGGUCUUUUCUGUAGAUUCCGAAAGCUGAUCUGGUACUUUACUGACAGCUUUUCAACCAUCUGCAAGAUCCCCCAAAUACUCAACUAAAAAGUCCAACCAAUGUAUUACCCUGUCACAUUAGCAAAAGUGAUUAAAAUAAUAUUGCCUCUAUGUUUAAAUGAAAGCUAAAAAUCCAGGCUUUUAUUUUAUAUUAUUCCCAACUUACAGAAUAUCAAAUCUUCAUCCUGACCCACCUCAUUUCCUUUUUUGAUAGAGUCCUUAUAUUGACA